CAGCAGCCGCGGUAAUACGAAGGGGGCUAGCGUUGUUCGGAAUUACUGGGCGUAAAGCGCACGUAGGCGGAUAUUUAAGUCAGGGGUGAAAUCCCGCAGCUCAACUGCGGAACUGCCUUUGAUACUGGGUAUCUUGAGUAUGGAAGAGGUUAGUGGAAUUGCGAGUGUAGAGGUGAAAUUCGUAGAUAUUCGCAGGAACACCAGUGGCGAAGGCGGCUAACUGGUCCAUAACUGACGCUGAGGUGCGAAAGCGUGGGGAGCAAACAGGAUUAGAGACCCCUGUAGUCCCUGUCUCUUAUAC
This 301-nucleotide ribosomal RNA is filed under the name uncultured bacterium. RNAcentral describes it as "partial 16S ribosomal RNA". It matches the Rfam family "Bacterial small subunit ribosomal RNA", at positions 509 to 807 of the family's 1533-position model. The record is from RNAcentral.